UGGAGCUCCUUCCUUUCCCAAUCCACUGUAUGGAUGUACAGAUUGAUCAAUCUUUUUAGCUUCUCUUGUUCGUUGAUUCUUAUUUUAACUGGUGAUGAGUUCUCGGCAGCAUGUCGCCCUUUAUUCGUGAGUUUUCCCCCUCCUUUUAAGAAAAGUGGUGGCCAUUUUUAAUUCCUCUAGUUUUGACCCAGAAGUUACCAGUUUCUUAUGUGAUUCUAAUUUACUAGUGGUUUGAUGUUGUUUUUGCUCAUGAAGGUUCUUGGUUGAGUGGAGUUUGUGUAAAUUUCUUUGAUCUAAUUUUCUCUCUGUCUCUGCUUCAAGGGGGAAGGGAUGAUUUGAGGUCUAUUGAGGACCCCAUAUAAUGUUAUGCAUCUUGUAAGAGAACAUCGAUGGAUAAAUUGGGGCUAAACUGGAAGAAUGUAAAAGAAUUGCUGUAAUCCCGAUAAUCGGUGGAAACGUAUUUUUCGGGGGGUCUCCGGGAUUUUUUCCUUUUUAUGUGAAAUGAUAAGUUUAAUCUCUUUGUGCGCUAAGAGUUCGUGGUUUAAAAUACCUACAGACAUAAGAGCGUUGAGGGCUCCUCCGCCACUCUCAUGUUCCAAGGAGAAUCCUAACUAUUUUCAUUUAUUAUUUUCUGAUCUUACUGAACUUUUUAUUUUAUAUUUAUAAUGUUUUACAAAAUUUUGUUCUCUUGUUUUUGAUGAUAAAUUUUUGUUAGUAUGCUGGCUUAGGCACGUCACCAUGAAAAAACAAUUGAUUAGCUCAUGAGGCAUGUUGUUGCAUGCAUUGGAUGUAUCAAGGAAUGCUCUUUACAAUGUAUAAAGGAGGAGAUAUAAUAAGGUUGGAAUAAUUGAAGAUAUAUUUG
Molecule: long non-coding RNA, 862 nt
Filed under: Phoenix dactylifera (date palm)
Lineage: Eukaryota; Viridiplantae; Streptophyta; Magnoliopsida; Arecales; Arecaceae
Description: long non-coding RNA (PDAC_LNC017526)
Source: RNAcentral